Molecule: ribosomal RNA, 1201 nt
Filed under: Clitaetra irenae
Lineage: Eukaryota; Metazoa; Arthropoda; Arachnida; Araneae; Nephilidae
Description: SSU rRNA
Rfam family: Eukaryotic small subunit ribosomal RNA
Source: RNAcentral
AAAAGCUCGUAGUUGAAUCUCUGUCACGUCCGGUCCGACUCGGGUUCCCUCGGGUCCUCCGGGUUCGGUCGGUGGGCAUAAGCGGCGUUUCGGUCGGGCGAGAUUGUCAGAGGUUUCGUCCGCCGUCUCCUCGCACGUUACUCUGUAUUAAAUGAUGGUGCUCAGAGCGAUUAUCACAGUGCUUAAUGACGGUGCAUGGAAUAACCGAACAGGACCUCGUUCCCGUUCGAUUGGUCUGGCAGUCGAGGUAAUGAUUAAGAGGAGCAGACGGGGGCAUUCGUAGUGCGUCGCUAGGGGUGAAAUCCGGUGACCGUCGCACGACGAACUACUGCGAAAGCAUUUGCCAAGAAUGUUUCCUUUAACCAAGAACGAAAGUCAGAGGAUCGAAGGCGAUCAGAUACCGCCCUAGUUCUGACCGUAAACCAUGUCGACCAGCGGUCACCUUGCUUGAGUAUUGCGUAGCAGGUGGAAGCUUGCUCGGGAAACCUGAGUGUUCGGGUUCCGGGGGAAGUAUGGUUGCAAAGCUGAAACUUAAAGGCAUUGACGGAGGGGCACCACCAGGGAAUGGAGCCUGCGGCUUAAUUUGACUCAACGCGGGGAAACUCACCCGGUCCGGACACGCAGUAGGAUUGACAGACACAAAGAGCUUUCUUGAUCUCGUGGGUGGUGGUGCAUGGCCGUUCUUAGUUCGUGAGGUGACUCGUCUGGUUGAUUCCGAUAACGGACGAGACUCUCGCCUACUUACAUAUCGCAGCCCCUUCUCCGCGGAGCGAGGGGUCGAUUCUUAGAGGGACAAGUGACGCUCAUCUAUAAGUCACGCGAGAGAGAGCCAAAACAGGUCUGUGAUGCCCUAAGAUGUCCGGGGCCGCACGCGCGCUACAAUGGAGGGGGCAAUGAAGAGAAAUCGGUUGGAUGCGCCCCGUCGUAAAAAGGCGGGGAUAGCCCGAGUCCCCUCCGCGCUCGGAACAGUGGGUUGCAAUUGUUCCGCUCGAACGCGGAAUCCCCCGUAAGCGCGAGUCUCAAGCUCGAGCUGAUUAAGUCACUGCCCUUUGUACACACCGCCCGUCACUACUACCGAUUGGAUGGUUCGGUGAGGUCGUCGGACACGUCCCCGAAUUUCGCUCUUUCGAGCGAGGUGGGGUGAUGUGRAAGUCGAUCGAACCGGGUCAUUUAGAGGAAGUACAAGUCGUAACAAGGUCUU